Homo sapiens (human) is the source of this 626-nucleotide long non-coding RNA. RefSeq lists it as uncharacterized. Lineage: Eukaryota; Metazoa; Chordata; Mammalia; Primates; Hominidae. The record is from RefSeq and is a predicted model, not a curated record. The transcript is spliced from 2 exons.
UGGAUGGGGACACGAGCAACAUCAACAGCAUGAGGACUACCCUGGCCCAGGCAAGAAGUAAGUAGAGUUUCUGGAAGCCAGCAGCUUCUCUCUUUCUCUCUCAUCUUCACAGGUAUGCAGGCAGGGAACCAGCCUCGGCGAUGGAAAUCAAUGAAUAAGACUUAACCUUCCUGGUGGCAAAUACUCCAACAGGGACAUCACAGACCUUCCACAACUCUGAGGAAGAUGAAAGUCUCCCGUGCACCCAGCUCUGGCUGAGGACGGAAUGACCUGGGGAGAACUUGGGCACUUCAGCUGCCCACAAAGCCCCAGGGAGAAAACCUUCCCAAAAAGGCAGUGGAUAAAUCAGAAUGCAGUGAGGAGCGGAUCCUUUCCAGGACCAAGACAGAUGCUGAAGAAGACAGCAGGGACCGGAGCCCAGCAAACUGGAUGAGAGCAGCAAGGCCUUCAUGCAUCUUCAGGCUCCAUCAGCAGAGGGAGAGAAUGCAUUAGACGGGAGUUUCCUGACUCCUAUUUUCUAAUGUGGCAGUCCUAAUGAGAAGAGGGUUUGAAGCGCUAAGAUGUGCUGACAGUCCUAAUGGUUUGUUAUGAGUUUCCUUAGAAAAAUUAAACACUGAAAAACAAAA